This is a non-coding RNA of Schistocephalus solidus, 83 nucleotides long. The record is from Rfam. NCBI's taxonomy places the organism in Eukaryota, Metazoa, Platyhelminthes, Cestoda, Diphyllobothriidea, Diphyllobothriidae.
GGCCUCGUAGCACAGUUGGCUAGAGCGUUGGCUGUACUAAAGGCUUCCCCUUGCUGGCGUGGGUUCAAAUCCCACCGAGGCCU